UAGGGAAUAUUGGUCAAUGGAGGGAACUCUGAACCAGCCAUGCCGCGUGCAGGAAGAAGGCCUUCUGGGUUGUAAACUGCUUUUAUACAGGAAGAAGAGCUCACGUGUGGGUAGAUGACGGUACUGUAUGAAUAAGCACCGGCUAACUCCGUGCCAGCAGCCGCGGUAAUACGGAGGGUGCAAGCGUUGUCCGGAUUUAUUGGGUUUAAAGGGUGCGUAGGCGGUCUAUUAAGUCAGAGGUGAAAGCCCACAGCUCAACUGUGGAACUGCCUUUGAUACUGGUUGACUUGAGUACACUAGAGGUAGGUGGAAUUUAUGAUGUAGCGGUGAAAUGCUUAGAUAUCAUAAAGAACUCCUAUAGCGAAGGCAGCUUACUGGAGUGUAACUGACGCUGAGGCAC
RNAcentral lists this ribosomal RNA (400 nucleotides) under uncultured bacterium. Its description in RNAcentral is "bacterial SSU rRNA". It matches the Rfam family "Bacterial small subunit ribosomal RNA", at positions 355 to 754 of the family's 1533-position model. The record is from RNAcentral.